RNAcentral lists this long non-coding RNA (3476 nucleotides) under Sus scrofa (pig). Its description in RNAcentral is "lncRNA (ENSSSCG00025051277.1)". The record is from RNAcentral. Lineage: Eukaryota; Metazoa; Chordata; Mammalia; Artiodactyla; Suidae.
CUAUCAGUAAAGGUAAAAAAAAAACAGCUCACACUUACUAAGGGUUUACCAUGCAGUAGGGUUGAAAUAAGUGCUUUACAUCAAUUCAUUUAAUCCUCACAAGAAGCUCCUACUAUCUGCUUUUCACACUGAGGAAAUCAGGAGGUCAGAGGACUUGUGGAUAUCACACACCAUGUACGUAAGGCUAACAUUGAGCAAAGGUAUCUUGACUUCUCAGUCUGUGUUCUUUAUUUUAUUUAUUUAUUUAUUUGUUUGUUUAUUUAUUUAUUUAUUUUUAGGGCUGCACCCUCAGCAUAUGGAGGUUCCCAGGCUAGGGGUCAAAUCGGAGCUGCAGCUGCCAGCCUAUGCCACAGCCACAGCAACUUAAAUCCAGGCCGAGUCUGCGACCUAUACUACAGCUCACAAGGCAACACUGGAUCUUUAACUGAGGGAUCGAACCCACAUCCUCAUGGAUACUAGUCAGGUUCUUUACCUGCUGAGCCACAACGGGAACUCUUGAUUUCUUCUCUUGAUUCGUCAUAAUCACUUGGCAAAACCAUAGCUCAAAUUAGAGUUCAUUUACUUCCUUCUGGCUCCCAUGUAACUGAACAUGAAUGAAAGAAAAAUGAAAGCGUGUUAAGAGGUUUAAAUUUAGGAACACAAACCUCGUGUGAUCUCAAAAUGCUGCCAUGCAAUCAAAUUAUACUUGCUUUAAGUUUAUUUGCUUUCCCCUUUUCUUUCUUUUUUUUUUUUUUUUGUCUUUUGUCUUUUUGUCUUUUGUUGUUGUUGUUGUUGCUAUUUCUUGGGCCGCUCCCGCGGCAUAUGGAGGUUCCCAGGCUAGGGGUCCAAUCGGAGCUGUAGCCACCGGCCUACACCAGAGCCACAGCAACGCAGGAUCCGAGCCGCGUCUGCAACCUACACCACAGCUCACGGCAACGCUGGAUCGUUAACCCACUGAGCAAGGGCAGGGACCGAACCCGCAACCUCAUGGUUCCUAGUCGGAUUCAUUAACCACUGUGCCACGACAGGAACUCCUGCUUUCCCCUUUUCUUACACAAGUGUUUUAUACAGUUCUCUUCACAUACUUAGCACUUUCUACUCCCAGUCUUACUCUCCAUGAUAACUUUUCCCAUUUCCUGGAGAAAACUGAUACAACUAGAAGAGAGCUCCUGCUGCUCUACCUAUCUGCCUGUCGGCAUUUGAACUCAUGUACUCUGCUUUCUAACCUAUUGCUAUACAGAAAUUAUCCAUGCUCUCCUUUUUUUUUUUUUUUUUUUUGGCUUUUUAGGGCCAUGCCCAUGACUUAUGAAAGUUCCCAGGCUAGGGUUCAAAUCAGAGCUGUAUCUGCCAGCCUACACCACAGCCAUAGCAACAGGAUCCGAGCCACGUCUGAAACCUACAUCACAGCUCAUGGCAGUGAGGCCAGGGAUCAAACCACUGAGUGAGGCCAGGGAUCAAACCCGAAUCCUCAUGAACACUGGUCGGGUUUGUUAACCACUGAGCCACAACAGGAACUCCUCCUCACUUUUAUUUAAAUCAGCAACCCUGCUUGUGUGCUAGAUCAGGGCCUGAAGGCCAAAUACUGUUAGUUGUUUUUAUAUGCCUCAGCAACCAAGAAUGGUUUUUAUGUUUUUACUUUUUUUUCCGGCUGCCGUAAGGCAUGUGGAGUUCCUGGACCAGGGAUCCAUUCCAAGCCAGAGCAGCAACCUACACCACAGCUGUUGCAAUGUGGAGUCCCAUCCCGCUGCACCUGGCCUGGGAUCAAACCCGAGUCCUUGCCACUAAAGAGACACUGUCGAUCCUGUUGCAGUGGGAACUCUGGUUCUUAUAUUCUUAAAUGCAGGUGGAGAAUAUAACAGAGACCAUGUGUGGCCCUAAAAUACCCACUAUUUGGCCCUUUAUGGAAAAAGAUGUGUGAUUCUGUACUAAAUCCCCUCUUUAUCCACCUACUCAAUGAUAAUAAUUCAACAAUUCUCCCUUUUCUCUCCUGGAUUAACAAGUUUUGACCUGUAUACUAGAUUAUUUCCACUAUUAUUCAAGCAUUUUGUAAUUUCUUUCAUUAAAAAAAAAGUCCAAAAUCCCAUGUCAUUUCCCUUGCCAGUUACUGUGCCAUUUAUUUGCUCCUCUUUUCAACGAAGCUUCUUGAAAUACUAGUCUCUACUUGUCUCAAAUUCCUCUCUUCUAAUUCUCACUUAAACUGACUCCAAUUAAGCUUUCUCUCCUAUCACCAAAACUGCUCUUGUCAAGAUCACUAAUACCCUCCUUAUGCUAAUUCCUGUGGUUAAUCUGCAACCCUAAUAUUAGUUGACCUAACAGCAGUAUCUGACACAGUGGCCCACUCCUUCCUUUUUUUUUUUUUUUUUUUUUAGGGCCACGCCCACAGCAUACGGAAGUUCCUAGGCUAGGGGUCGAACUGGAGCUUCGGCUGCUGGCCUACACCACAGUCACAGCAAUGCCAGAUCCAAGCCACAUCUGUAAUCUACACCGCAGCUCACGGCAACACCAGAUCCUUAACCCGCUAAGCAAGGCCGGGAGAUCAAAUCCUCAUAAAUACUAGUCCGGUUCGUUACCACUGAGCCAAAAUGGGAACUCCAGACAUACGAAUUUUUCAAAAUUAUAUGAACACACACACACUAGAAUAUUAUUCAGCCUUAAAAAGGAAGGAAAUUCUGACACAUGCUACAACAUGGGUGAACAUUGUAGACGUUAUGCUAAGUGAAAUAUGCCAAUCACAGAAGGACAAAUAUUGUAUGAUUUCACUCAUAUGAAGUAGCUAUUGUAAUCAAACUUAUAGUGACAGAAAGUAGACUAGAGGUUACCAGACACUGAUAACUGUGUUUGUAGGGUACAGUAUGGGACAAUGAAAAACUUCAGGAGGUGGAUAGCGGUGGUGGUCAUAGAACAGUGUGAAUGUACUUCAUGCCACAGAAUUGUACUCGUAUCUGAUCCCUGUCAGGGGAACUUCCUAUGCCUGGGGCAGGCAAAAAAGAAAAAAAAAAAAAAAAGGCUUGAAUGAUAAAACUUUUGCUANAUGAUAAAACUUAUGCUAUGUGUGUUUCACCCCGAUUUUAAAAAACACCAUGUGAGGAAUUAUCCACAUCACUUACAGUCUCAUCAGUACCAUAAUACUGUAUGUCUCAUGUGAAACAGAUAAUCAGACAUAACAGCACAGAUGACCCCACACUACUAAGCAAUCCCUGCUCAGAAACCCACAAUAUUGGAGUUCCCGUCGUGGCACAGUGGUUAAUGAAUCCGACUAGGAACCAUGAGGUUGUAGGUUCGAUCCCUGGGCUUGCUCAGUGGGUUAAGGAUCUGGCGUUGCCAUGAGCUGUGGUGUAGGUUGCAGACGUGGCUCGGAUCCCACGUUGCUGUGGCUCUGGCGUAGGCCGGUGGCUAUAGCUCGACUGAACCCCUAGCCUGGGAACCUCCAUAUGCCGCAGAUGCGGCUCCAGAAAAAGGCAAAAAGACAAAAAAAAAGACAAAAAAAAAAAAAAAAG